AUUUUAUAUUCACGUAAUAAUAUGUUUUAUAUUUAUAAUAAAAUAGAAUUUAAUCAUUUAACCGGUGACUCAGGCCAUUGAUAUCAAUGUAAAUCAGUAACAUACAUUUAUGUCUAAAACCUAACCAAACUUAUGGUUCUCGUGAUAAAUAUAAAAAUUUGAUUCUACUCUUCUAUUUGUGAUUUAAUUUGAUUCGUUCUGUUUUAAAAGCAUAAGAAAAUAUUUCAAAAUGGCUCAAGGUAAAAUGAAAGUUAAAGCGAAGUUGCCCAGUGAUAUUAAGAAGACCAAAAAAAAGGGAGCAGCAAUUACCAAAAAAAAGAACUGUCCAGUCAAAUCCAAAAAGGAUAAAACAGAAGCGAAUAAAUUAAAACAAAUGGUGACAAAGACGUUGAAUAAAGCAAUUGAAGAAGAUCUUCGUGCCAAAGUUGAAUCAAAUAUCAAACUCUCCAAAGCUCAAGAAGCCGUGGCCAAGUACCAUUCUACUAAAACUGAAUAAUGGUAUAACAAAAAUGUGAAUCCUUGUUUGGACUAGGUGAGAAGAUAGAAACCUUCUAUAAUAAAAUAAAACAAAACUGUUAUUAAGUGAUAUUGUUGACUUGUGAUAAAUAAAUAAUGAUAAGUUGAA
This is a long non-coding RNA of Harmonia axyridis, 625 nucleotides long. RefSeq lists it as uncharacterized. The transcript has 2 exons. NCBI's taxonomy places the organism in Eukaryota, Metazoa, Arthropoda, Insecta, Coleoptera, Coccinellidae. The record is from RefSeq and is a predicted model, not a curated record.